GCGACGGUAGCUCAGCUGGUAGAGCAGGGGCCUCUUAAGCCCAAGGUCCUGGGUUCGAUCCCCAGCCGUCGCACCA
This 76-nucleotide transfer RNA is filed under the name Patescibacteria group bacterium. RNAcentral describes it as "tRNA-Lys". It matches the Rfam family "tRNA". Rfam says of the family: Transfer RNA (tRNA) molecules are approximately 80 nucleotides in length. The record is from RNAcentral.